This 484-nucleotide ribosomal RNA is filed under the name uncultured bacterium. RNAcentral describes it as "partial 16S ribosomal RNA". It matches the Rfam family "Bacterial small subunit ribosomal RNA", at positions 28 to 523 of the family's 1533-position model. The record is from RNAcentral.
GACGAACGCUGGCGGCGUGCUUAACACAUGCAAGUCGAACGAUGAACCCGGAGCUUGCUCCGGUGGAUUAGUGGCAAACGGGUGAGUAACACGUGAGUAACCUGCCCUUGACUCUGGGAUAACUGCGGGAAACUGUAGCUAAUACCGGAUACGACCCUCGGCGGCAUCGCCAGGGGGUGGAAAGAAUUUCGGUGAAGGAUGGACUCGCGGCCUAUCAGCUAGUUGGUGAGGUAACGGCGCACCAAGGCGACGACGGGUAGCCGGCCUGAGAGGGUGACCGGCCACACUGGGACCGGGACACGGCCCAGACUCCUACGGGAGGCAGCAGUGGGGAAUAUUGCACAAUGGGCGCAAGCCUGAUGCAGCAACGCCGCGUGAGGGAUGACGGCCUUCGGGUUGUAAACCUCUUUUAGUAGGGAAGAAGCGAAAGUGACGGUACCUGCAGAAAAAGCACCGGCUAACUACGUGCCAGCCGCCGCAGUAA